Long non-coding RNA from Chelonia mydas (Green sea turtle), 327 nucleotides. RefSeq lists it as uncharacterized. NCBI's taxonomy places the organism in Eukaryota, Metazoa, Chordata, Testudines, Cheloniidae. The transcript has 3 exons. The record is from RefSeq and is a predicted model, not a curated record.
GGAGGGCCUGCAAGGAGCAGGGAGUGAGAAGGCGUGCUGUUGGAGGUCUGAAGAGUACAAGCGUGAUCAGGCUUCAGGAGGAAGAUCCUGUGGAAUGCAGCCUCAUUUCGUUAGGGGAGCGAACAGUUGGCUUUCUGCGUGGCUAAUUCUCGCAUUUGCUGAUCUCCUGGGAUAAGGAACACGUAACUCUGGUUUCUGGGUCUCCUCUUGCUCAUUUCCCAUUUAACAGCAGCACAGAAUCAUGGGGAGGACUAUGGAGAUGGUAUGUGUCCUCCCUGAGUCCAUCCCUAGACACCCCAAAUGGUUCAUCUGCAGGGACCUCAGGAG